GACAAGUGUAUGACUGCCUUUGAGCUGUAGU
Molecule: non-coding RNA, 31 nt
Filed under: Homo sapiens (human)
Lineage: Eukaryota; Metazoa; Chordata; Mammalia; Primates; Hominidae
Source: RNAcentral